This 497-nucleotide ribosomal RNA is filed under the name uncultured bacterium. RNAcentral describes it as "partial 16S ribosomal RNA". It matches the Rfam family "Bacterial small subunit ribosomal RNA", at positions 28 to 507 of the family's 1533-position model. The record is from RNAcentral.
GAUGAACGCUGGCGGCGUGCCUAAUACAUGCAAGUCGAGCGAACAGACGAGGAGCUUGCUCCUCUGACGUUAGCGGCGGACGGGUGAGUAACACGUGGAUAACCUACCUAUAAGACUGGGAUAACUUCGGGAAACCGGAGCUAAUACCGGAUAAUAUAUUGAACCGCAUGGUUCAAUAGUGAAAGACGGUUUUGCUGUCACUUAUAGAUGGAUCCGCGCCGCAUUAGCUAGUUGGUAAGGUAACGGCUUACCAAGGCGACGAUGCGUAGCCGACCUGAGAGGGUGAUCGGCCACACUGGAACUGAGACACGGUCCAGACUCCGACGGGAGGCAGCAGUAGGGAAUCUUCCGCAAAGGGCGAAAGCCUGACGGAGCAACGCCGCGUGAGUGAUGAAGGUCUUCGGAUCGUAAAACUCUGUUAUUAGGGAAGAACAAAUGUGUAAGUAACUAUGCACGUCUUGACGGUACCUAAUCAGAAAGCCACGGCUAACUACGUG